RNAcentral lists this non-coding RNA (23 nucleotides) under Rattus norvegicus (Norway rat). The record is from RNAcentral. Lineage: Eukaryota; Metazoa; Chordata; Mammalia; Rodentia; Muridae.
CAAUUAAGGUGUCUAUGAAAUUU